Molecule: long non-coding RNA, 337 nt
Filed under: Helianthus annuus (common sunflower)
Lineage: Eukaryota; Viridiplantae; Streptophyta; Magnoliopsida; Asterales; Asteraceae
Description: hypothetical non coding rna
Source: RNAcentral
CCCAUUCCUUACAGAGAAGGAAAAUUAGCAAAGAGCUCGAAGAAGUAAUGGAGGUGGAAUUGAGCGGUAUCACAUUUAAUGCUUUGCAAUUCAGAGACACCGGUUGAACUUGGAUUUGUGCUAAGAGGUCCAUUAGAGAGAACAAUUCAUGUUACAUGUCAAAUUGUAAACUAGAGGUUUGCCCCCAUGAAACUAUAUAUCUGUUUGAAGAUUGGAGUUUGAACUCUUAUUGUCCUUCAAUGUUCAGAAACAAGCACACUAGUUUCUUUAUUAUCUGCUUCAAGAUUGAACAGACAAGCAACAGAAUUAAAAAAGAUACAGUAGAGAACUGUGCUAU